RNAcentral lists this ribosomal RNA (685 nucleotides) under uncultured Bacilli bacterium. RNAcentral's name for it is "bacterial SSU rRNA". It matches the Rfam family "Bacterial small subunit ribosomal RNA", at positions 78 to 741 of the family's 1533-position model. The record is from RNAcentral. Lineage: Bacteria; Bacillati; Bacillota; Bacilli.
CACCAGAUGAAACUAGAUACAAGCGAGCGGCGGACGGGUGAGUAACACGUGGGUAACCUGCCCAAGAGACUGGGAUAACACCUGGAAACAGAUGUUAAUACCGGAUAACAACACUAGACGCAUGUCUAGAGUUUAAAAGAUGGUUCUGCUAUCACUCUUGGAUGGACCUGCGGUGCAUUAGCUAGUUGGUAAGGUAACGGCUUACCAAGGCAAUGAUGCAUAGCCGAGUUGAGAGACUGAUCGGCCACAUUGGGACUGAGACACGGCCCAAACUCCUACGGGAGGCAGCAGUAGGGAAUCUUCCACAAUGGACGCAAGUCUGAUGGAGCAACGCCGCGUGAGUGAAGAAGGGUUUCGGCUCGUAAAGCUCUGUUGGUAGUGAAGAAAGAUAGAGGUAGUAACUGGCCUUUAUUUGACGGUAAUUACUUAGAAAGUCACGGCUAACUACGUGCCAGCAGCCGCGGUAAUACGUAGGUGGCAAGCGUUGUCCGGAUUUAUUGGGCGUAAAGCGAGUGCAGGCGGUUCAAUAAGUCUGAUGUGAAAGCCUUCGGCUCAACCGGAGAAUUGCAUCAGAAACUGUUGAACUUGAGUGCAGAAGAGGAGAGUGGAACUCCAUGUGUAGCGGUGGAAUGCGUAGAUAUAUGGAGGAACACCAGUGGCGAAGGCGGCUCUCUGGUCUGCAACU